AAAAACAUAGCCUUAAGAAGAUAUUUAAGGUAAGCCCUGCCCGGUGAAAAUUUUUUAACGGCCGCAGUACCCUGACUGUGCUAAGGUAGCGUAAUCAGUUGGCUUUUAAAUGGAGUCGAGAAUGAAUGGGUAAAUGGGAAAAAGCUGUCUCAUUAAUAUAUUUUGAAUUUCCUAAGAAGAUGAAAAUUUCUUCGAUUAAAAAAAAGACGAGAAGACCCUUAGAGUUUUCAUAAAAAUGAUUUGACCAUUACUUUUUUGUUGGGGCGACAUAGAGACAUCUAACUUUCUUAAUAAUUUGUGACAAGCCGGCGCUUAGCAAGUAAGAAUAAACUACCUUAGGGAUAACAGCAUUAUUUUUUAUAAAGCUUGUGACCUCGAUGUUGGACUAGGGACUAAGAGACUAGCCGUCAACUUAGCAUGUUCUGUUCGAACAUAAAACCCUACAUGAUCUGAG
RNAcentral lists this ribosomal RNA (454 nucleotides) under Maningrida arnhemensis. Its description in RNAcentral is "partial 16S ribosomal RNA". It matches the Rfam family "Bacterial large subunit ribosomal RNA", at positions 1809 to 2609 of the family's 2925-position model. Lineage: Eukaryota; Metazoa; Mollusca; Gastropoda; Maningrididae. The record is from RNAcentral.